Molecule: ribosomal RNA, 406 nt
Filed under: uncultured bacterium
Lineage: Bacteria
Description: partial 16S ribosomal RNA
Rfam family: Bacterial small subunit ribosomal RNA
Source: RNAcentral
AUUGAACGCUGGCGGCAGGCCUAACACAUGCAAGUCGAACGAGUGGCGGACGGGUGAGUAAUGUCUGGGAAACUGCCCGAUGGAGGGGGAUAACUCCUGGAAACGGUAGCUAAUACCGCAUACCAUCGGAUGUGCCCAGAUGGGUUUAGCUAGGAGGUGGGGUAACGGCUCACCUAGGCGACGAUCCCUAGCUGGGCUGAGAGGCUGACCAGCCACACUGGAACUGAGACACGGUCCAGACUCCUACGGGAGGCAGCAGUGGGGAAUAUUGCACAAUGGGCGCAAGCCUGAUGCAGCCAUGCCGCGUGUAUGAAGAAGGCCUUCGGGUUGUAAAGUACUUUCAGCGGGGAGGCGUUACCCGCAGAAGAAGCACCGGCUAACUCCGUGCCAGCAGCCGCGGUGAUUC